GCGAGCUUGGCGGAAUGGUAGACGCACGAGACUUAAAAUCUUGCGCCUGUAACUGGGCGUGCGGGUUCGAGUCCCGCAGUUCGCA
RNAcentral lists this transfer RNA (85 nucleotides) under Komagataeibacter xylinus NBRC 15237. RNAcentral's name for it is "tRNA-Leu". It matches the Rfam family "tRNA". Rfam says of the family: Transfer RNA (tRNA) molecules are approximately 80 nucleotides in length. The record is from RNAcentral. Lineage: Bacteria; Pseudomonadati; Pseudomonadota; Alphaproteobacteria; Acetobacterales; Acetobacteraceae. RNAcentral also lists the same sequence under 2 other names.